Molecule: ribosomal RNA, 253 nt
Filed under: uncultured bacterium
Lineage: Bacteria
Description: partial 16S ribosomal RNA
Rfam family: Bacterial small subunit ribosomal RNA
Source: RNAcentral
UACAGAGGUCUCAAGCGUUGUUCGGAUUCAUUGGGCGUAAAGGGUGCGUAGGUGGCGCCGUAAGUCGGGUGUGAAAUCUCAGGGCUCAACCCUGAAACUGCAUUCGAUACUGCCUUGCUCGAGGACUGGAGAGGAGAUUGGAAUUCACGGUGUAGCAGUGAAAUGCGUAGAUAUCGUGAGGAAGACCAGUGGCGAAGGCGGAUCUCUGGACCGAAACUGACGCUGAGGAGCGAAAGCGUGGGGAGCAAACAGG